Molecule: ribosomal RNA, 486 nt
Filed under: uncultured bacterium
Lineage: Bacteria
Description: partial 16S ribosomal RNA
Rfam family: Bacterial small subunit ribosomal RNA
Source: RNAcentral
AUUGAACGCUGGCGGCAUGCCUUACACAUGCAAGUCGAACGGCAGCACGGGUGCUUGCACCUGGUGGCGAGUGGCGAACGGGUGAGUAAUACAUCGGAACAUGUCCUGUAGUGGGGGAUAGCCCGGCGAAAGCCGGAUUAAUACCGCAUACGAUCUACGGAUGAAAGCGGGGGACCUUCGGGCCUCGCGCUAUAGGGUUGGCCGAUGGCUGAUUAGCUAGUUGGUGGGGUAAAGGCCUACCAAGGCGACGAUCAGUAGAUGGUCUGAGAGGACGACCAGCCACACUGGGACUGAGACACGGCCCAGACUCCUACGGGAGGCAGCAGUGGGGAAUUUUGGACAAUGGGCGAAAGCCUGAUCCAGCAAUGCCGCGUGUGUGAAGAAGGCCUUCGGGUUGUAAAGCACUUUUGUCCGGAAAGAAAUCCUUGGCUCUAAUACGGUCGGGGGAUGACGGUACCGGAAGAAUAAGCACCGGCUAACUACGUG